AUUGAACGCUGGCGGCAUGCCUUACACAUGCAAGUCGAACGGCAGCACGGGUGCUUGCACCUGGUGGCGAGUGGCGAACGGGUGAGUAAUACAUCGGAACAUGUCCUGUAGUGGGGGAUAGCCCGGCGAAAGCCGGAUUAAUACCGCAUACGAUCCACGGAUGAAAGCGGGGGACCUUCGGGCCUCGCGCUAUAGGGUUGGCCGAUGGCUGAUUAGCUAGUUGGUGGGGUAAAGGCCUACCAAGGUGACGAUCAGUAGCUGGUCUGAGAGGACGACCAGCCACACUGGGACUGAGACACGGCCCAGACUCCUACGGGAGGCAGCAGUGGGGAAUUUUGGACAAUGGGCGAAAGCCUGAUCCAGCAAUGCCGCGUGUGUGAAGAAGGACUUCGGGUUGUAAAGCACUUUUGUCCGGAAAGAAAUCCUUGACUCUAAUACAGUCGGGGGAUGACGGUACCGGAAGAAUAAGCACCGGCUAACUACGUG
This 486-nucleotide ribosomal RNA is filed under the name uncultured bacterium. RNAcentral describes it as "partial 16S ribosomal RNA". It matches the Rfam family "Bacterial small subunit ribosomal RNA", at positions 30 to 507 of the family's 1533-position model. The record is from RNAcentral.